CACGUAGGCGGCGCUCUAAGUCAGGUGUGAAAUCCCCCGGCUCAACCGGGGAACUGCACCUGAUACUGGAGCGCUCGAGGACGGUAGGGGUGAGUGGAACUCCAGGUGGAGCGGUGAAAUGCGUAGAUAUCUGGAGGAACACCGGUGGCGAAAGCGGCUCACUGGACCGUCUCUGACGCUGAGGUGCGAAAGCUAGGGUAGCAAACG
This 207-nucleotide ribosomal RNA is filed under the name uncultured bacterium. Its description in RNAcentral is "partial 16S ribosomal RNA". It matches the Rfam family "Bacterial small subunit ribosomal RNA", at positions 568 to 774 of the family's 1533-position model. The record is from RNAcentral.